RNAcentral lists this small RNA (17 nucleotides) under Arabidopsis thaliana (thale cress). RNAcentral's name for it is "ATSL124090". The record is from RNAcentral. Lineage: Eukaryota; Viridiplantae; Streptophyta; Magnoliopsida; Brassicales; Brassicaceae.
UUACUUAUAGCUUCCUA